GAUGAACGCUGGCGGCGUGCCUAAUACAUGCAAGUCGAGCGAAUGGAUUAAGAGCUUGCUCUUAUGAAGUUAGUGGCGGACGGGUGAGUAACACGUGGGUAACCUGCCCAUAAGACUGGGAUAACUCCGGGAAACCGGGGCUAAUACCGGAUAACAUUUUGAACCGCAUGGUUCGAAAUUGAAAGGCGGCUUCGGCUGUCACUUAUGGAUGGACCCGCGUCGCAUUAGCUAGUUGGUGAGGUAACGGCUCACCAAGGCAACGAUGCGUAGCCGACCUGAGAGGGUGAUCGGCCACACUGGGACUGAGACACGGCACAGACUCCUACGGGAGGCAGCAGUAGGGAAUCUUCCGCAAUGGACGAAAGUCUGACGGAGCAACGCCGCGUGAGUGAUGAAGGCUUUCGGGUCGUAAAACUCUGUUGUUAGGGAAGAACAAGUGCUAGUUGAAUAAGCUGACACCUUGACGGUACCUAACCAGAAAGCCACGGCUAACUACGUGCCAGCCGCCGCGGUAA
This 515-nucleotide ribosomal RNA is filed under the name uncultured bacterium. RNAcentral describes it as "partial 16S ribosomal RNA". It matches the Rfam family "Bacterial small subunit ribosomal RNA", at positions 28 to 523 of the family's 1533-position model. The record is from RNAcentral.